CGGGUGAGUAACGCGUAGGAACCUGACGCGCAGUGGGGGAUAACGCUGGGAAACCGGCGCUAAUACCGCAUGUGGUCGCAAGAAGAAAGCAGCAAUGCGCUGUGUGAGGGGCCUGCGUCCGAUUAGCUAGUUGGUGGGGUAAAGGCGUACCAAGGCACCGAUCGGUAGCUGGCCUGAGAGGAUGAUCAGCCACACUGGGACUGAGAGACGGCCCAG
This 216-nucleotide ribosomal RNA is filed under the name uncultured bacterium. Its description in RNAcentral is "partial 16S ribosomal RNA". It matches the Rfam family "Bacterial small subunit ribosomal RNA", at positions 103 to 334 of the family's 1533-position model. The record is from RNAcentral.